Molecule: ribosomal RNA, 660 nt
Filed under: Klebsiella pneumoniae
Lineage: Bacteria; Pseudomonadati; Pseudomonadota; Gammaproteobacteria; Enterobacterales; Enterobacteriaceae
Description: bacterial SSU rRNA
Rfam family: Bacterial small subunit ribosomal RNA
Source: RNAcentral
GAGCGCGUAGCACAGAGAGCUUGCUCUCGGGUGACGAGCGGCGGACGGGUGAGUAAUGUCUGGGAAACUGCCUGAUGGAGGGGGAUAACUACUGGAAACGGUAGCUAAUACCGCAUAACGUCGCAAGACCAAAGUGGGGGACCUUCGGGCCUCAUGCCAUCAGAUGUGCCCAGAUGGGAUUAGCUAGUAGGUGGGGUAACGGCUCACCUAGGCGACGAUCCCUAGCUGGUCUGAGAGGAUGACCAGCCACACUGGAACUGAGACACGGUCCAGACUCCUACGGGAGGCAGCAGUGGGGAAUAUUGCACAAUGGGCGCAAGCCUGAUGCAGCCAUGCCGCGUGUGUGAAGAAGGCCUUCGGGUUGUAAAGCACUUUCAGCGGGGAGGAAGGCGGUGAGGUUAAUAACCUCGUCGAUUGACGUUACCCGCAGAAGAAGCACCGGCUAACUCCGUGCCAGCAGCCGCGGUAAUACGGAGGGUGCAAGCGUUAAUCGGAAUUACUGGGCGUAAAGCGCACGCAGGCGGUCUGUCAAGUCGGAUGUGAAAUCCCCGGGCUCAACCUGGGAACUGCAUUCGAAACUGGCAGGCUAGAGUCUUGUAGAGGGGGGUAGAAUUCCAGUGUAGCGGUGAAAUGCGUAGAGAUCUGGAGGAAUACCGGUGG